This 3143-nucleotide long non-coding RNA is filed under the name Nicotiana benthamiana. Its description in RNAcentral is "long non-coding RNA (NBEN_LNC005242)". Lineage: Eukaryota; Viridiplantae; Streptophyta; Magnoliopsida; Solanales; Solanaceae. The record is from RNAcentral.
GGUAGGAUAUAAGUACUUUUCUGGGUUAGUGAUUUUAACUGUUGAAUACCACUGAGUAUUCUACUUGUGGGAGAAAGGAGUAGAAUUUUGAAGGAAACGGAUUGAACAAAUUUCUUAAUUCCUAUCCAUUAUACCCUUUGGUUAACUGUCAUCGUAAGGGAAUAAGUAAUCUUUUUACAGUACCUAAUUGAAUGUUCUUAUUUGCUUAAUGAGAUUGAAGAGCUGGAAAUGUGGGUGUCUAGUAAUUUUUUGAGGAACACGUUGGUAUCAUAUGUUGCUUCAUGUGUUUAAUAUUUGGUUGUUGAUGAACGUUAAAAUCGCUUUUUUUGUUUGUUCAUAAUAAUAACAGUACGAAAUUCAACAAUGAUGAAAACUAAAAUAGCAAUAAUAAAUUGUUUCAGUUAUUCGUAUUAUCGUGAUAACAAUUUAGUGCUGUAAUGACCCUACAUCUUCCUUUUAAAGUUUUUCUUAUAGAGAAAAUGGAGAUUACUUUGGAAAAAUCCAUAAAGAUGUGCUUAAACAUUCAAAACAAUAAGCUCGCAGCACGAUUUCCUUUUUUUUUUUUGGGUGGAAUGAGGUAUAGGGCUGCAAGUUACUUGUUGCCACAAAAUGUGGAAAGUGUUAAUGAAUAGUUAGACAAAAGAUAAAUUAAUGCCUUGUCACUGUUGCAUCCUAUAUUAAAAAUCUUUUACUUCUCCAUUGCUAAACAAUCAUCCUUACCAUGAAAAGCACAAGCAGUGUUAACAUUUGUUUGCUUCAAUGAAAAAGGGAAAGUCAUUAGGAAGAAGGUAGGGAUAUGCUUACAGCUUUAGGCCUCCUCUUUGUUUUCUGUUCCAUAUCCCUUUAUAUCAAUAGCAAAGUGGCUUCUCUUUUAUAUGUUUUGUUGGGACCAGUUGGUUUGGGUUGGUGUGGAGGAACAUGUAGUAGGUUGGAACAACUAAAUUGGAGGUUCAUCAUUCUACCCUUGUGUUCUCUACUAAAUGAAUUGACGAGAUUCUCUAUUUGGUUUUCAGUGAGAAAGGGGGAUUAGUUACCUUGGAUCAAUAGGUGGGUAGACCGCUGACCAUAAAGCCAACUUUAAAUGGUUGGUUUGGUAAAUUUCAGUUACCGAAGAACGUAAAUUACAUGGUCUCACUGCGAGGAGUCUUGCAAUUAGUAUUGUAUUUUUGGCAGAAUCUUGUGAAUUGUCCAAAGGGUUUGACAACAUGAUUGAAUAAUGAACUCCUUUUGAUGGACUAUACCAAUCUCACCUCUAAAUUGGCAUGCCGAGGACAUCACUUUAGUCUGGAAAUUACUCAAGCAUCUGAUUCCUUAACGUUUCCAUUUCUCCGUGCUUAUUGAAAUGUUAAAGGAUGAGAGUAAUUUUGAUACCUAAGUGAUUGUACUUUACGGUUAAGCAAACUAGGAGAUGGCAGCAUUUACAAAGCCCUUUUUUUUGUUCGUAAAGCUUAUUAGAAAAUCUUUCACUGGGAUAUAGCAGUUUAAUGUUCCUACAGGUUCAGCAGCAGCUGAGUUUUCUGCUGGAGCCUUGCCAGGAUUUUUGCAGAAUCUCGGUUCAAUUAGCAGGUUUUACGAGCUUAACUUGCUUCUGAUUGUUCUCCAAUUUCAUUCGUGUGUGAAUGACCAAGAAUUUUUUCAGAGAGACGAGGCACACAACUCAUGGAUGUUUAUAACUUUGCAGUCCCUCUGAUGCGCUUUUUGAAGCAUUCAUAAAGACAGAUGUUGCAUUCAGGACACAACUUGAUUGGAGGUUGGUUUGGGUUGGUGUGGAGGAACAUGUAGUAGGUUGGAACAACUAAAUUGGAGGUUCAUCAUUCUACCCUUGUGUUCUCUACUAAAUGAAUUGACGAGAUUCUCUAUUUGGUUUUCAGUGAGAAAGGGGGAUUAGUUACCUUGGAUCAAUAGGUGGGUAGACCGCUGACCAUAAAGCCAACUUUAAAUGGUUGGUUUGGUAAAUUUCAGUUACCGAAGAACGUAAAUUACAUGGUCUCACUGCGAGGAGUCUUGCAAUUAGUAUUGUAUUUUUGGCAGAAUCUUGUGAAUUGUCCAAAGGGUUUGACAACAUGAUUGAAUAAUGAACUCCUUUUGAUGGACUAUACCAAUCUCACCUCUAAAUUGGCAUGCCGAGGACAUCACUUUAGUCUGGAAAUUACUCAAGCAUCUGAUUCCUUAACGUUUCCAUUUCUCCGUGCUUAUUGAAAUGUUAAAGGAUGAGAGUAAUUUUGAUACCUAAGUGAUUGUACUUUACGGUUAAGCAAACUAGGAGAUGGCAGCAUUUACAAAGCCCUUUUUUUUGUUCGUAAAGCUUAUUAGAAAAUCUUUCACUGGGAUAUAGCAGUUUAAUGUUCCUACAGGUUCAGCAGCAGCUGAGUUUUCUGCUGGAGCCUUGCCAGGAUUUUUGCAGAAUCUCGGUUCAAUUAGCAGGUUUUACGAGCUUAACUUGCUUCUGAUUGUUCUCCAAUUUCAUUCGUGUGUGAAUGACCAAGAAUUUUUUCAGAGAGACGAGGCACACAACUCAUGGAUGUUUAUAACUUUGCAGUCCCUCUGAUGCGCUUUUUGAAGCAUUCAUAAAGACAGAUGUUGCAUUCAGGACACAACUUGAUUGGAGGUUGGUUUGGGUUGGUGUGGAGGAACAUGUAGUAGGUUGGAACAACUAAAUUGGAGGUUCAUCAUUCUACCCUUGUGUUCUCUACUAAAUGAAUUGACGAGAUUCUCUAUUUGGUUUUCAGUGAGAAAGGGGGAUUAGUUACCUUGGAUCAAUAGGUGGGUAGACCGCUGACCAUAAAGCCAACUUUAAAUGGUUGGUUUGGUAAAUUUCAGUUACCGAAGAACGUAAAUUACAUGGUCUCACUGCGAGGAGUCUUGCAAUUAGUAUUGUAUUUUUGGCAGAAUCUUGUGAAUUGUCCAAAGGGUUUGACAACAUGAUUGAAUAAUGAACUCCUUUUGAUGGACUAUACCAAUCUCACCUCUAAAUUGGCAUGCCGAGGACAUCACUUUAGUCUGGAAAUUACUCAAGCAUCUGAUUCCUUAACGUUUCCAUUUCUCCGUGCUUAUUGAAAUGUUAAAGGAUGAGAGUAAUUUUGAUACCUAAGUGAUUGUACUUUACGGUUAAGCAAACUAGGAGAUGGCAGCAUUUACAAAGC